This 72-nucleotide transfer RNA is filed under the name Anas platyrhynchos (mallard). It matches the Rfam family "tRNA". Rfam says of the family: Transfer RNA (tRNA) molecules are approximately 80 nucleotides in length. Lineage: Eukaryota; Metazoa; Chordata; Aves; Anseriformes; Anatidae. The record is from Rfam by way of RNAcentral. RNAcentral also lists the same sequence under 2 other names.
UCCCUGGUGGUCUAAUGUUUAGGAUUAAGUGCUCUCACCGCCGUAGCUCGGGUUCGAUUCCUGGUCAGGGAA